AUUGAACGCUGGCGGCAGGCCUAACACAUGCAAGUCGAACGGUAACAGGAAGCAGCUUGCUGCUUCGCUGACGAGUGGCGGACGGGUGAGUAAUGUCUGGGAAGCUGCCUGAUGGAGGGGGAUAACUACUGGAAACGGUAGCUAAUACCGCAUAAUGUCGCAAGACCAAAGAGGGGGACCUUCGGGCCUCUUGCCAUCGGAUGUGCCCAGAUGGGAUUAGCUUGUUGGUGGGGUAACGGCUCACCAAGGCGACGAUCCCUAGCUGGUCUGAGAGGAUGACCAGCCACACUGGGACUGAGACACGGUCCAGACUCCUACGGGAGGCAGCAGUGGGGAAUAUUGCACAAUGGGCGCAAGCCUGAUGCAGCCAUGCCGCGUUUAUGAAGAAGGCCUUCGGGUUGUAAAGUACUUUCAGCGGGGAGGAAGGGAGUAAAGUUAAUACCUUUGCUCAUUGACGUUACCCGCAGAAGAAGCACCGGCUAACUCCGUG
Molecule: ribosomal RNA, 490 nt
Filed under: uncultured bacterium
Lineage: Bacteria
Description: partial 16S ribosomal RNA
Rfam family: Bacterial small subunit ribosomal RNA
Source: RNAcentral